This 68-nucleotide transfer RNA is filed under the name Mullerornis agilis. Its description in RNAcentral is "tRNA-Arg". Lineage: Eukaryota; Metazoa; Chordata; Aves; Struthioniformes; Aepyornithidae. The record is from RNAcentral.
AGAAAGUUAGUCUAACUAAGACAGCUGAUUUCGGCUCAGCAAAUUAUAGUAAACACUAUAGCUUUCUU